CACCUUCGCGGAAGUGCCGGUGCCCCCCGCCCCCGCCGUGCUGGAGUCGCCGGCUGGGGACGCAGCAGCAGCGCAGCGCAGCGGAGGGGACCCGGCUGCAGGGCGGCCUCUCGGUCUGCAGGAAAUUCACCCUGGAACUCAGGCGGAGGAAGCUGAGCCCUUGGCUUGUUCGCUGACUUGAGUGGUAAGGAGCCGCCCUGCAGGGAACCCCUGUCCUCUGAAGACGCAGGGUCCCCGUGGUGAC
This 244-nucleotide long non-coding RNA is filed under the name Cavia porcellus (domestic guinea pig). Its description in RNAcentral is "lncRNA (ENSCPOG00000030819.1)". Lineage: Eukaryota; Metazoa; Chordata; Mammalia; Rodentia; Caviidae. The record is from RNAcentral.